GGGUUGUGAGGUUAAGCGACUAAGCGUACACGGUGGAUGCCCUGGCAGUCAGAGGCGAUGAAGGACGUGCUAAUCUGCGAUAAGCGUCGGUAAGGUGAUAUGAACCGUUAUAACCGGCGAUUUCCGAAUGGGGAAACCCAGUGUGAUUCGUCACACUAUCGUUAACUGAAUACAUAGGUUAACGAAGCGAACCGGGGGAACUGAAACAUCUAAGUACCCCGAGGAAAAG
This 229-nucleotide ribosomal RNA is filed under the name Salmonella enterica subsp. enterica serovar Kentucky. Its description in RNAcentral is "partial 23S ribosomal RNA". It matches the Rfam family "Bacterial large subunit ribosomal RNA", at positions 1 to 221 of the family's 2925-position model. The record is from RNAcentral. Lineage: Bacteria; Pseudomonadati; Pseudomonadota; Gammaproteobacteria; Enterobacterales; Enterobacteriaceae.